Non-coding RNA from Callithrix jacchus (white-tufted-ear marmoset), 1945 nucleotides. The record is from RefSeq and is a predicted model, not a curated record. Lineage: Eukaryota; Metazoa; Chordata; Mammalia; Primates; Cebidae.
GUCCACCCCCAUUAGGGCACCAAGGCAAGGAGGUGGGCUGUGUGCAACAGAACAAGAAUCUACUCAUCUUAUACAUGGGCAUUUAAAAAUUUGGUAGAGAAACUAGAAGAAAAUGAAGCUAAAUAUUUACAACACUGACUUGGAAAGCCUUUUCAGAAUUUGCCCGUUUCUUCUCGCACAAUAAGAUGUUCCAGGCUCAUCAUGCAUUUUCCCUGGGCCAGCUCUGGAAUCAGCCGUUUCUCUAAGUUGCCCUGUCUCACUCCUUCUAAGCAACCCCCUGCAGAGUGAUGCGUCUCUACCUAGAAGAGGUCCACUGAAGGAACCAGAUGUUUCCAUAGGAGAAAUGCACAGCAUGAAACUACCAUACAGAGAAAUACCUGAGCCAUCAAGAAAUAAAGUGAGAACGUGGAUGAGGCUCAUGAAGAAGCCAAUAUGCCAAACAAGCUUUGCUCUUGUUGCCCAGGCUGGAGUGCAAUGGCGCAAUCUCGGCUGACUGCAACCUCCACCUCCAGGUUCAAGCGAUUAUCCAGCCUCAGCCUCAGCCUCCCAAGUAGCUAGAAUUACAGAUGUGUGCCACCACGCCCAGCUAAUUUUGUUUUGUAUUUUUAGUAGAGACUGGGCUUCUCCAUGUUGGUCAGGCUGGUCUCAAACUCCCUACCUCAGGUGAUCCACCUCCCUUGGCCUCCAAAAGUGCUGUGAUUACAGGCGUGAGCCACCGCAACUGGCCAAGUGCUACUUCUUAUAUUGCUGCAAAAAUGCCAAUGAGAAAUGUUUGUGCAUCGAGACUAAAUGCAGGUAUAUCUGAGCAGAGACAAAGACUGGUCCUUGGUGAGAAUUGGGACCAGGAAGCAAGACUGACAGCAUUCCUAGGGGACUGGAGGGAGAGAUGCGUCUGAUUUCAUACUGUGGCCGUGAGUGUGCUUGCGAGUUCCAGGAAGCCCUGGCCAGUGGUAUCCUGUGAACACCAUUUCAUGAACUACCAGGAUGAUUAAACUGCAGGGUGCUGUGGAGGGGCUUCUAGCCCUUUUCCCUGGCACAUCCCCUCACUUGAGUAAUGCCUGGCUUUAAAUUUGGGAAGGCAGAAGAUGGCAAUCGGGCUGUCUGUCAGUGUCAUCAUCUGUCAUCAUCUUCAGGCUGCCAGUGGGACAGCUGGGGAAAAGCAGGAUCAAGUUGACUGGCAGAGGGUUUUACAUCUAAUGAGUUUGUGUGCUGUAAUAGUAUAAUAAAUAAGGCUCUGGAGGAACGCAGCUAUCACUCGCAUUCCCAAACUGAGAUACAGCCUUGCCAGAAGCUCACGAAACCAUCUGUUACCAAAUAUUAUUCUGUGUCAGUGGCUGGACUGGCCUGAGGACAUGGACGACAUCAACGGAAGGAGGCAAUUGACAACACCAUGUCAUUCAAAAAGAUUUAAAGGGAACUGCCUUAAGGAGCUGGAGAUUUCCAGGUGAUUUUUGAAAUGCACAUAUAAAACCACCACCAGAAGCAGUCAGACGUGAAAUCUCGGCUGCUGAAUGCUAAAGAAUCUUUCCUUUGGAGGAGUUCAGUUUCUGUCACUUGGGGUCAGUUCUCGAGUCAUUUCAUCCUUAUCUGCUUGGAUUUGGGGCUGGAAUUAAUGCAGUCCUCUUUAGUGUGUUUUUGCCAGUGUGAUCCAUCAAGAUCUGAUUGUCGCCAAAGAACUCCACCGAUGACACAGCCGUUAAUGACAGGAAUAUUGAGAGUGGACGAAAGCUUGAGUGUUGGAUAGAAGCCAUCAGGAUUGGUAGUUGCUUGGUUUCCUCAUGUUUUUGUUGUUGCGGAGAAGGAGGAGGAAGCUUACAAGCUGUCACAAAUAAAGAACUGGGGCCGUAAUAAAUCUCAUGUUGGUAACACAAGUACAUGCUGAGCUAUCAAACCACAUGGUAAUGGGGCAAGUCAGGAGGACAGAGGGGCAUGGUGACCCUUUGAA